AUUGAACGCUGGCGGCAUGCUUUACACAUGCAAGUCGAACGGUAACAGGCCGCAAGGUGCUGACGAGUGGCGAACGGGUGAGUAAUGCAUCGGAACGUGCCCAGUCGUGGGGGAUAACGCAGCGAAAGCUGCGCUAAUACCGCAUACGAUCUCUGGAUGAAAGCGGGGGACCGAAAGGCCUCGCGCGAUUGGAGCGGCCGAUGUCAGAUUAGGUAGUUGGUGGGGUAAAGGCUCACCAAGCCAACGAUCGGUAGCUGGUCUGAAAGGACGACCAGCCAACAUGGGACUCAGACACGGCCCAGACUCCGACGGGAGGCACCAGGGCGGAAUUUUGGACAAGGGGCGUAAGCCUGAUCCAGCAAUGCCUCGUGCAGGAAGAAGGCCUUCGGGUUGUAAACUGCUUUUGUACGGAACGAAACGGUCCUGGUUAAUACCUGGGGCUAAUGACGGUACCGCAAGAAUAAGCACCGGCUAACUACGUGCCAGCAGCCGCCGUAA
This 498-nucleotide ribosomal RNA is filed under the name uncultured bacterium. RNAcentral's name for it is "partial 16S ribosomal RNA". It matches the Rfam family "Bacterial small subunit ribosomal RNA", at positions 29 to 523 of the family's 1533-position model. The record is from RNAcentral.